UAAGACCAAAUUUGUAAAAGCAGUUGUUUGAGUGGAUUAUUCUUUCUAUUCUCUUGCUUCACUUCUAGGACCUACAAAAUGUCAUUUGUUCAUUGCACAUUUUAAAAACAGUACGAAGCAGAUUAUGUACAACCUCUAACCUGUUCAUAUGAAGCAGACUUGCAUCCUGGGUCUACUAUGAGUGCUUCUCCAUGAGCGACAAAACUAUCAUGACAACCACUAUUGUUGCCUCCAGGCAGGAAAACAAUUAAGUUUGUUGUGCGAAAAGGCUUAGCUGUUCUACUUUCCAUAGGUAUAACUUUAACACCAGGAGGGUACUCCUGAAACAUGAAAAAAAAAUUAGUGGGCGGUAUUUUUCCCUUAAGAUGAUAAAAACAUCAACGAAACAAAAUUUUCACAUUUACAUGUUCACACAUCAAUUGCUAUCUGUUGCUUAUUCCUUAAGUCUUCCUUGACUGCAGGAAUGCAGGUCUUUAGAUAAACACAACCACUAUUAUUGCCUCCGGGCAGGAAAACAAUUAAGUUUGUUGUGCGAAAAGGCUUAGCUGUUCUACUUUCCAUAGGUAUAACUUUGACGCCAGGAGGGUACUCCUGAAAC
RNAcentral lists this long non-coding RNA (598 nucleotides) under Nicotiana benthamiana. RNAcentral describes it as "long non-coding RNA (NBEN_LNC008595)". The record is from RNAcentral. Lineage: Eukaryota; Viridiplantae; Streptophyta; Magnoliopsida; Solanales; Solanaceae.